Molecule: ribosomal RNA, 528 nt
Filed under: Clostridioides difficile
Lineage: Bacteria; Bacillati; Bacillota; Clostridia; Peptostreptococcales; Peptostreptococcaceae
Description: partial 23S ribosomal RNA
Rfam family: Bacterial large subunit ribosomal RNA
Source: RNAcentral
CUGCGACAGGACGGAAAGACCCCAUGGAGCUUUACUGUAGCUUGACAUUGGGUCUUGGUACUACAUGUACAGGAUAGGUGGGAGGCUUUGAAACCAGGACGCCAGUUUUGGCGGAGCCAUCCUUGGGAUACCACCCUUGUAGUACUGGGACUCUAACCAUAGGCCAUGAAUCUGGUCUUGGGACACUGUCAGGUGGGCAGUUUGACUGGGGCGGUCGCCUCCCAAAAGGUAACGGAGGCGCUCAAAGGUUCUCUCAGUACGGUCGGAAAUCGUACGUAGAGUGUAAAGGCAAAAGAGAGCUUGAUUGCAAGACAUACAGGUCGAGCAAGGAUGAAAAUCGGACUUAGUGAUCCGGUGGUUCUGCGUGGAAGGGCCAUCGCUCAACGGAUAAAAGCUACCCUGGGGAUAACAGGCUUAUCUCCCCCAAGAGUCCACAUCGACGGGGAGGUUUGGCACCUCGAUGUCGGCUCAUCACAUCCUGGGGCUGUAGUAGGUCCCAAGGGUUGGGCUGUUCGCCCAUUAAAGUGG